AGGGGGACUGAGAGGUCAACCCCCCCACAUUGGUACUGAGACACGGACCAAACUCCUACGGGAGGCAGCAG
This 71-nucleotide ribosomal RNA is filed under the name uncultured bacterium. RNAcentral's name for it is "partial 16S ribosomal RNA". It matches the Rfam family "Bacterial small subunit ribosomal RNA", at positions 285 to 354 of the family's 1533-position model. The record is from RNAcentral.